GACAUAGGUCGCGAACGUUAUCCGGAAUUAUUGGGCGUAAAGGAUGCGUAGAUGGUUCGGUAAGUUACUGAUGGGAAAUCGAGGCCCAACCUCGUGGAAGUUAGUAAUACUGUCGAGCUUGAGUGCAGGAGAGGUUAACGGAACUUCAUGUGGAGCGGUAAAAUGCGUAGAUAUAUGAAAGAACAUCAAUAUAGCGAAGGCAGUUAACUAUUCUGCUACUGACAUUGAGGCAUGAAAGCGUGGGGAGCAAAACGG
This 255-nucleotide ribosomal RNA is filed under the name uncultured bacterium. Its description in RNAcentral is "partial 16S ribosomal RNA". It matches the Rfam family "Bacterial small subunit ribosomal RNA", at positions 524 to 776 of the family's 1533-position model. The record is from RNAcentral.